UACAGAGGGUGCGAGCGUUAAUCGGAAUUACUGGGCGUAAAGGGCGCGUAGGCGGCCCGAUAAGUCGGAUGUGAAAGCCCCGGGCUCAACCUGGGAACUGCAUACGAUACUGUCAGGCUAGAGUAUGGUAGAGGUAAGCGGAAUUCCGGGUGUAGCGGUGAAAUGCGUAGAUAUCCGGAGGAACAUCAGUGGCGAAGGCGGCUUACUGGACCAAUACUGACGCUGAGGCGCGAAAGCGUGGGGAGCAAAC
Molecule: ribosomal RNA, 250 nt
Filed under: uncultured bacterium
Lineage: Bacteria
Description: partial 16S ribosomal RNA
Rfam family: Bacterial small subunit ribosomal RNA
Source: RNAcentral